Molecule: unclassified non-coding RNA, 339 nt
Filed under: soil metagenome
Description: partial contains 5.8S ribosomal RNA, internal transcribed spacer 2, and large subunit ribosomal RNA
Rfam family: 5.8S ribosomal RNA (bases 1-120)
Source: RNAcentral
GAUGAAGAACGUAGCGAAAUGCGAUACGUAGUGUGAAUUGCAGAAUUCAGUGAAUCAUCGAAUCUUUGAACGCACAUUGCACCUCUCGGUAUUCCGGGAGGUAUGCCUGUUCGAGCGUCAUUUGUACCCUCAAGCUCUGCUUGGUGUUGGGUGUUUGUUCCGCCUCUGUGUGUGAACUCGCCUCAAAACAAUUGGCAGCCGGCGUACUUGUUUCGGAGCGCAGCACAUUUUGCGAUCCAGAUCAACGUACAGCGGCAUCCAAGAAGCCUUAUUUAACGCUCUUGACCUCGGAUCAGGUAGGGAUACCCGCUGAACUUAAGCAUAUCAAUAAGCGGAGGA